UUCCAUUAAAAGAGGGGAAAAAAAGAAGGGCCAUCAUAUUUCCCUUGUGUCAGACAAGUUGGUUUCUCAUAUUUGUUAAAUAUCAAAGCAAAUAUUUUUUUUCCUUAUAAUUGGUGGGAGGAACAAAAGAAGAUUUGAAGUUCUGAAGAAUUCUAAGAAAACAUGAAGACAAUAGACAUGAAGAAGAAAGAGAAGGAAAUAAUAUCUUUUUUGAUUUAGGAACUCAACUUUCUGAUAAAUACUUAUUUGAAGAUUUUGUUGGUAAAAUAUCUUGUACAGAUCAUUUUUCUUAUCCAGAUUUCUUGUUCUCGAGGAUUUAAUUUCUCUGACAUUCUAGGGCCGGACUGUUGCAUCCAUGUCCAUGCAAAACUGGCCAUAAGAUGGCACGAUACAAAAGGAGAGAAAAGGAGCUUGCUUAUAGAGACACUUCAAACUCAUCUUUCACUUCUAGAUACCCAAUCCAAUAACCUACUACAGACAACUACAUGAUCUAGUUCUCAAAUAAGCUCUUUAC
Molecule: long non-coding RNA, 514 nt
Filed under: Phoenix dactylifera (date palm)
Lineage: Eukaryota; Viridiplantae; Streptophyta; Magnoliopsida; Arecales; Arecaceae
Description: long non-coding RNA (PDAC_LNC022790)
Source: RNAcentral